AGAUGAGGGGCUCUUUCUUCUGGGUGCAUUGUGGGUCUGUGUUGUAGUCAUUUCUUCUGUUGUUCCUUCUGGAUCUCUCUGGGUUACCCUGCCGUCCAGUCCUUGCUGUGCAGGGGGGUUGUCAACUGAACUUCUGGGUUUCCUGGCUGUCCGGAAUGGUGCCCGUUCAUGAGGGGGAAGCUGCUGAAGGUACUCCUCUCCUUUCAGACCAACUGAAGAAAUAUGCCUGGCAAAUCAUGGAGGCAGUAGAGAUGUGAUGGCUUUGGCUUCUGCAAAAGGUUGCUCUGAGCUUUCUCCCUGGUUCUUGAGGAAGCUCCAUCUCCUGCGAAUUUCCCAGACUCAGAAGACCUGUGUAUGUGAACCAUGGAAAGGAAGAAGGAAAAGUGACAUAAACAAAAAAUGACAAUUUGUCCUGUCCUGUUCCAGACUGGAGAAACUGCCUGUGUAUAUACAUGGAUGACUGGAAGCCUGCCUAAUGCCAAGAGUUUGGCUGUGAUGCUCAAAACCAGAAAUUUCAGAGUGUUUUGGUAUCAGUGAGCAUGUUAGAAGAAAAUCAUUUCAAACUGAAGCCCAAUAUUCCCACCUCUGCCCCAAAACAGCAAGUGUCUAGGAGAAACUUCAUAUACCUCCCUGUUUGCCUGCAAAGCCUGUGUUGCACUGUUGUCAAACCAUGAGAUUCAAGGAAUGGAAACUUGGAUUUUUGCACAUUGUGUGAUGGGUGUAGCAAUGAAUCAGGGAUGCAAGAUUUUCCAAUGACCUGUAUUUCUGGAAUGAAGUAAUUGGGUGGAGAUGGCUGUUCUAUUUGAGAUUCACCACAAUUUUAUCCAGUUAAGAACUCCUUUCUUAAGAGAUUUGAGGAACCAAAGACCUUUGAAGUUUCUGUGGACACAGAGUUUCAGAAGGCACAGACAGCCCGUGCCUGUUGCCAACCCGUGCCAGCCAAGGACAGGAGCUCAAGAGCUGGCGUCGGUGGCAGAAGAGGCGGACGCUGCAAGAGGAGGAUUUUAGACGGUCGCUACAGCAGUUCUACAUCCUUUUUGUCUGGAUGAUAAAAUCUAAGCAAACCCUUCAGCAGACAUCAACAACCGUAAGUCAUCAUAUUCUGUUGCCCACUUUGCUUAUUCCAAAGUUUAGAUUAUGCCCUGCGUCUGAACCUUCAUUUACCCAAAAGCCACAUAACGUAGCCUGUGACUUGGUGAGCUCUUUGGUAAUACACAGUUUCAAAAGAUAUCAGUUAUCUUCAAAGCUAUUCACAAAUGGCUUCCCUAUAUUUAAAUAAUGCUUCAUCUUAAACUCAGCUAAACCACAGACAGUAUGAAAUGCCAACAGAUGGUUGAAUUGUGUUUCCAUAGCAAAGUAAUUUACAAUAAUUGCCGUAUGGACGUAAAUGCAAUUUUCCAUUAUAUUCGUCUUAUCAAGUGUUACCAUACAACUCUGAUACAUUUUAUCAGAAUAUGA
Numida meleagris (helmeted guineafowl) is the source of this 1458-nucleotide long non-coding RNA. RefSeq lists it as uncharacterized. The record is from RefSeq and is a predicted model, not a curated record. The transcript is spliced from 8 exons. Lineage: Eukaryota; Metazoa; Chordata; Aves; Galliformes; Numididae.